GGAGAGAUGCCUGAAUUGGUUAAGGGAGCGGGUUGCUAACCCGUCGGCUGCUUCGGUGGUCUCUGGGUUCGAAUCCCAGUCUCUCCGCCA
This 90-nucleotide transfer RNA is filed under the name Vibrio phage Thalassa. Its description in RNAcentral is "tRNA-Ser". It matches the Rfam family "tRNA". Rfam says of the family: Transfer RNA (tRNA) molecules are approximately 80 nucleotides in length. The record is from RNAcentral. RNAcentral also lists the same sequence under 14 other names. Lineage: Duplodnaviria; Heunggongvirae; Uroviricota; Caudoviricetes; Demerecviridae.